GAGGAAAGCGGAAGGGAUGAGAAGGAAGUUUAAGCAAGGUGAGGAGUGGAGAGACAGGACUGGAUACAGAGAGGGUAAAACUACGCAGGCACAGAUGCACAAAUUACCUCCAAAUGCUCUCUGAUAUUGCCAGGCCAGCGAAAGGAAGUAAAACCAGUUGAAACCAGUUGAAACCAGUUGAAACCAGUUAGGUUUGGGGUUUAAACGUGGUUCCUAACAGAGCACUUCAAAGGGAAGUAAAACCAGUUGAAACCAGUUAGGUUUGGGGUUUAAAUGUGUUUCCUAACAGAGCACUUCAAAGGGAAGUAAAACCAGUUGAAACCAGUUAGGUUUGGGGUUUAAACGUGGCUCCUAACAGAGCACUUCAAAGGGAAGUAAAACCAGUUGAAACCAGUUAGGUUUGGGGUUUAAACGUGGUUCCUAACAGAGCACUUCAAAGGGAAGUAAAACCAGUUGAAACCAGUUAGGUUUGGGGUUUAAAUGUGUUUCCUAACAGAGCACCUCACAGGGAAGUAAAACCAGUUGAAACCAGUUAGGUUUGGGGUUUAAACGUGGUUCCUAACAGAGCACUUCAAAGGGAAGUAAAACCAGUUGAAACCAGUUAGGUUUGGGGUUUAAACGUGGUUCCUAACAGAGCACUUCACAGGGAAGUAAAACCAGUUGAAACCAGUUAGGUUUGGGGUUUGAAAGUGAACACUUCUGAAGCCUAACUCCAAAGGAACACUUACGAAGCUUGGCUCCUUGUUUAGGCAGGCCUCCACAAACUCCUUGAGGGGCUUGCUGUAGUUCCCCUCCAGGGUAGGAGGGGUGUUCU
Oncorhynchus keta (chum salmon) is the source of this 814-nucleotide long non-coding RNA. RefSeq lists it as uncharacterized. Lineage: Eukaryota; Metazoa; Chordata; Actinopteri; Salmoniformes; Salmonidae. The transcript has 4 exons. The record is from RefSeq and is a predicted model, not a curated record.